UAUUAUGGUGGUCAUGCGCGGGGUCCUUUCGAGGGCGCCGGGAACUGAUACGACCGGUCUACCAACCCGCGUAUGGCCACCACCCUU
Molecule: non-coding RNA, 87 nt
Filed under: Pseudomonas lini
Lineage: Bacteria; Pseudomonadati; Pseudomonadota; Gammaproteobacteria; Pseudomonadales; Pseudomonadaceae
Source: RNAcentral